Nicotiana attenuata is the source of this 105-nucleotide non-coding RNA. NCBI's taxonomy places the organism in Eukaryota, Viridiplantae, Streptophyta, Magnoliopsida, Solanales, Solanaceae. The record is from Rfam.
AUGUCGUGGUGUGGACAUUUUGUUAAUAUUACUUUUACUUUCCCAAGCUUGAUAAACUGACUCAGUGUCAGUCUGUAAGAAAUUAGAGAUGUUUUGUCUUAACUU